AUGGACAUGGCCGGGCUCCCUCUCGCCGUCGCCUUCUUCCACCUCUGCCUCCUCCUCUCGUCGUCGUCCUCUCUCCGGGUGCUGCCGGUAGCCCCCGACGCGGCGGCGGAGGAGAGCACGGGCCGCAAUGGCAGUGGCAGGACCGCCUACCACUUCCAGCCCGCCAAGAACUGGAUGAACGAUUUGGGCCGUCUAGAAUGGCCUUUCUAUCUAGACAAAGGGCCCAAACUGUAA
This 234-nucleotide ribosomal RNA is filed under the name Triticum aestivum (bread wheat). Its description in RNAcentral is "partial small subunit ribosomal RNA". The record is from RNAcentral. Lineage: Eukaryota; Viridiplantae; Streptophyta; Magnoliopsida; Poales; Poaceae.